Molecule: transfer RNA, 76 nt
Filed under: Sandaracinus sp.
Lineage: Bacteria; Pseudomonadati; Myxococcota; Polyangiales; Sandaracinaceae
Also listed under: 2 other names
Description: tRNA-Lys
Rfam family: tRNA
About the family: Transfer RNA (tRNA) molecules are approximately 80 nucleotides in length. Their secondary structure includes four short double-helical elements and three loops (D, anti-codon, and T loops).
Source: RNAcentral
GGGCUGUUAGCUCAAUCGGUAGAGCAGCGGACUUUUAAUCCGACGGUUGUGGGUUCAAGUCCCGCACGGCCCACCA